Molecule: ribosomal RNA, 407 nt
Filed under: uncultured eukaryote
Lineage: Eukaryota
Description: SSU rRNA
Rfam family: Eukaryotic small subunit ribosomal RNA
Source: RNAcentral
UAGUCAUAUGCUUGUCUCAAAGAUUAAGCCAUGCAUGUCUAAGUAUACGCAAAUUAUACUGUGAAACUGCGAAUGGCUCAUUAAAUCAGUUAUAGUUUAUUUGAUGUUUCUUGCUACAUGGAUAACUGUGGUAAUUCUAGAGCUAAUACAUGCGUAAAAAGCCCCGACUUCUGGAAGGGGUGUAUUUAUUAGAUAAAAACCAUCCUCCUCGGAGUUUGGUGAUUCAUAAUAACUUCUCGAAUCGCACGGCCUUGUGCUGGCGAUGCUUCAUUCAAAUAUCUGCCCUAUCAACUGUCGAUGGUAGGAUAGAGGCCUACCAUGGUUGCAACGGGUAACGGGGAAUAAGGGUUCGAUUCCGGAGAGGGAGCCUGAGAAACGGCUACCACAUCCAAGGAAGGCAGCAGGCG